GGUCAGCCCCAGUCAGCCAUGGUCAGCCCCAGUCAGCCACGGUCAGCCACGGUCAGCCCCAGUCAGCUGUGGUCAGUCCUGGACAGCCCCAGUCAGCCAUGGUCAUCCUCAGUCAGCCAUGGUCAGCCCCGGUCAGCCCACUGAAACCCCACUGUUAUCCAUGAGUCUAUCCUAGAAGCUGUCCCCAUAGCCAGAAGGAUGA
RNAcentral lists this long non-coding RNA (202 nucleotides) under Pan troglodytes (chimpanzee). RNAcentral describes it as "long non-coding RNA NONPTRT012931". Lineage: Eukaryota; Metazoa; Chordata; Mammalia; Primates; Hominidae. The record is from RNAcentral.